UAGCUCAGUCGGUAGAGCACACGACUGAAAAUCGUGGUGUCGGCAGUUCAAUUCUGC
This 57-nucleotide transfer RNA is filed under the name Acidobacteriota bacterium. RNAcentral describes it as "Acidobacteria bacterium (marine metagenome) tRNA-Phe". It matches the Rfam family "tRNA", at positions 8 to 62 of the family's 71-position model. Rfam says of the family: Transfer RNA (tRNA) molecules are approximately 80 nucleotides in length. Their secondary structure includes four short double-helical elements and three loops (D, anti-codon, and T loops). The record is from RNAcentral. Lineage: Bacteria; Pseudomonadati; Acidobacteriota.